CUGGAGAGAGGAUAAAACAUGGGGGGAGGGGACAUUGCAUUUACCGACAAUAUUUCAGUCGGUAAUUAAUCUUCCUUUUCCCAAAAUUGUAGGCGAGGGGGGGGGGAGGUAAUAAAAUUUUCCGGACAUACCAUUCUUCACUAACUUUCGAAUUAAUGUACCGUAAUUUGUUAAAUUUUAUGGUAAUAUUUUCGUCAAUUUAUCAGAAUUUUUGCUAAGACUAUUACUUUUUAAUUCGAGCCAAAAAUUUGCCGAUAAAUCCGCUAUUUUGCCGAUAAGACGUUUUCAGGGGUGUCACCCCCCCCCCCUAUAUAGUGACGGCCCUGCAUGGAGUCAAGAUGGUGAUGCGGCCUAACCGCAGUUCUGCAGCCCUUGUAGGCUACGGUAGAAGACAAGAGCUCUCUCUCUCUCUCUCUCUCUCUCUCUCUCUCUCUCUCUCUCUCUCUCUCUCUC
Non-coding RNA from Paramuricea clavata, 453 nucleotides. NCBI's taxonomy places the organism in Eukaryota, Metazoa, Cnidaria, Anthozoa, Malacalcyonacea, Plexauridae. The record is from the annotation of a GenBank genome assembly.